RNAcentral lists this long non-coding RNA (271 nucleotides) under Solanum tuberosum (potato). RNAcentral's name for it is "long non-coding RNA (STUB_LNC011507)". The record is from RNAcentral. Lineage: Eukaryota; Viridiplantae; Streptophyta; Magnoliopsida; Solanales; Solanaceae.
UUAGGUAUAAAAAAUGUAAAUUUUCUGAGGGAAAGAACCCUCUGUUAUAAAAAAUUAAAAAUCCAGAUUUCGGGAUCGGAGUUAUGCGAUUUCAAAUUUUAAUAUUUCGGUAAGAAGUGUAAUCUUUCAAGAACUUGAAAGUGCAGCUUUUGAGUGUUACAAAUUUCUAUUUAGUCUUAAAAUUGUUGAACCUUUUGUUGCUUGGCUUAAAAUUUUAUUUUUUCGCCUCGAGUCACUGGCCACAAGAUUUUAAAAGAAAGAAAGGACUUGA